GGGCUUCAACUUCCAGGUCGCAAUGGUAACUGGGGUACUUGAGUGCAGAAGAGGAGAGAGAAAUUCCACCAGUAGCGGUGAAAUGGGUAGAUAUGGGGAGGCCCCGGCAGUGGAGACGGGGUCUCUCUGCGCUGUAACUGACGCUGAGGCGAGAAAGCGUGGGGAGCAUACAGGAUUACAUACCCUGGUAGUCCACGCUGUAAACGAUGAAUCCUAGGUGUUAGGGGUUUCGAUACCCUUGGUGCCGAAGUUAACACAUUAAGCAAUCCGCCUGGGGAGUACGGUCGCAAGAAUGAAACUCAAAGGAAUUGACGGGGACCCGCACAAGCAGUGGAGUAUGUGGUUUAAUUAGAAGCAACGCGAAGAACCUUACCAGGUCUUGACAUCCCUCUGACCGGUACAGAGAUGUACCUUUCCUUCGGGACAGAGGAGACAGGUGGUGCAUGGUUGUCGUCAGCUCGUGUCGUGAGAUGUUGGGUUAAGUCCCGCAACGAGCGCAACCCUUGAUCUUAGUUGCCAGCAGGUUAAGCUGGGCACUCUAAGGUGACUGCCGGUGACAAACCGGAGGAAGGUGGGGAUGACGUCAAAUCAUCAUGCCCCUUAUGACCUGGGCUACACACGUACUACAAUGGCUGGUACAACGGGAAGCGAAGCCGCGAGGUGGAGCCAAUCCUAUAAAAGCCAGUCUCAGUUCGGAUUGCAGGCUGCAACUCGCCUGCAUGAAGUCGGAAUUGCUAGUAAUCGCGGAUCAGCAUGCCGCGGUG
RNAcentral lists this ribosomal RNA (764 nucleotides) under Paenibacillus uliginis. RNAcentral describes it as "bacterial SSU rRNA". It matches the Rfam family "Bacterial small subunit ribosomal RNA", at positions 605 to 1364 of the family's 1533-position model. Lineage: Bacteria; Bacillati; Bacillota; Bacilli; Caryophanales; Paenibacillaceae. The record is from RNAcentral.